AAGGGUUCACUAGGCCAAUUGGGAGGCGAAAAUCUUGAGGCAACAAGCACAAUGGCGUCAUCAUCUCGUAUCGAUCAUCACCACCAUGACCAUAAAGGCUGAUAAGAUUUGCAAAAGACAAUCUUUAUUCAUAUUUUUCUUUGUAUCAAUGACAUAAUAAUAAUCAUUACCGAAAGAGUGUGCAAAAAAGUUAAUCAACUUGAUGUUUGUUAAAUAACCAAGUCAUGCCUCUAAUUUCUUCAAAUGUUUUUUUUUAUAUCUGGUGAAUGUUGAUGUACUUCUAACCUUUGUGUAUGCAACCAUUCCUCCUCAUGAUGAACUGCUUUACAAAGAAACUUUCAUAACUAUAAUAUAAUCUAAUUCAGACAGCUUCACCUAUGACUCUAAAGAGAUUCAGCACUUAAAAGGAAAAAGAAAACAGAUAAAGGAAACACACAUAAAUAACAAGAACAAAGAAUAUUCUUUUGACUGUCAGCCCUAAGCAAUUGGAAUAAUAUGCAACUCACUCGUUCCAGUUGGUGUGAAACUAAUUCAUUAGUCCCUUCGAAAAAGAAGACACAUAUCUUAUUUGAAAAUAAUUAACUUACACUUCUACUUUUACCCCUAAUUAUAAGCUUUUAUAACCAAUUUAGAGGCAUAUUUAAGUCCAACAAGUUUAAAAGUUUUAUAAACACACAAAUUCUAUGAUAUAUUUGAGACGACAAGUAUCAAAAAUAGUCAUUUCUUUCUUAAACUAUGUCACAUGGAUAACUAAAUAACCGAUUUAGUAAAAAAGUAAAGAGGUACAAAAUGUAGUAGAGCAGGGCAGGGAAGCUGAUGUAAACAAGGAUAGAGAAGGAAUCAGCAUGUAUUGAUUAUCUUAAUCAUCCAGAUAUGUGUCCUAGAAGCUCAGCACGGCCAAACAUGGCAGCACCAGGAGUACAAUCCGGUCACAAUAUCCAUCAUAAGUACCUGCUAUAUUUCAUCAUUUUCCACUAUAUCCAUUGUUUAGAUUAAUUAACACAAGAUUAGUUCAUCUUUAGUAUGAGGGUAAAAGAGAUUGCUCUUUUAAGCAUAAGUGCAGAAUCAUCCCCUCAUUCCGGAACAGAAGUAGAAGCAGAAAAGGAAUAAUAGCGUAGAGGACAGAAACAGAAAUAAAACUGCAGAGUCCACCUGAAUGAAGAAGAACAAGAAGAAUACCGGGAGACUAAACUGGAGCGUGCAGCCUCAGCAGCCCGAGCCCCAAUCAAGA
RNAcentral lists this long non-coding RNA (1231 nucleotides) under Nicotiana tabacum (common tobacco). RNAcentral's name for it is "long non-coding RNA (NTAB_LNC004222)". The record is from RNAcentral. Lineage: Eukaryota; Viridiplantae; Streptophyta; Magnoliopsida; Solanales; Solanaceae.